CUGACAUCCCUGGAAACUAAAAUCCUUUAUGCACACAAUAGGUACAGUGGAAGCAUUCAUGCAGGGUCUUGACAAUAAGCCUCAGCCCUGACCUGGAGGGAUCACCUCUAUUAGUGGCAGAGUAGUUCUAUUCUCCAUGGCUCAUUCAGUCCUUGGCUUCA
Chelonoidis abingdonii (Abingdon island giant tortoise) is the source of this 161-nucleotide unclassified non-coding RNA. Lineage: Eukaryota; Metazoa; Chordata; Testudines; Testudinidae. The record is from Ensembl.